RNAcentral lists this ribosomal RNA (227 nucleotides) under uncultured bacterium. RNAcentral's name for it is "partial 16S ribosomal RNA". It matches the Rfam family "Bacterial small subunit ribosomal RNA", at positions 107 to 334 of the family's 1533-position model. The record is from RNAcentral.
UGAGUAACACGUAUCCAACCUGCCGUCUACUCUUGGACAGCCUUCUGAAAGGAAGAUUAAUACAAGAUGGCAUCAUGAGUCCGCAUGUUCACAUGAUUAAAGGUAUUCCGGUAGACGAUGGGGAUGCGUUCCAUUAGAUAGUAGGCGGGGUAACGGCCCACCAAGCCUUCGAUGGAUAGGGGUUCUGAGAGGAAGGUCCCCCACAUUGGAACUGAGACACGGUCCAA